Molecule: ribosomal RNA, 482 nt
Filed under: uncultured bacterium
Lineage: Bacteria
Description: partial 16S ribosomal RNA
Rfam family: Bacterial small subunit ribosomal RNA
Source: RNAcentral
AUUGAACGCUGGCGGCAUGCCUUACACAUGCAAGUCGAACGGUAACGGGCCUUCGGGUGCCGACGAGUGGCGAACGGGUGGGUAAUACAUCGGAACGUGCCCGAUCGUGGGGGAUAACGAGGCGAAAGCUUUGCUAAUACCGCAUACGAUCUACGGAUGAAAGCAGGGGACCGCAAGGCCUUGCGCGGACGGAGCGGCCGAUGGCAGAUUAGGUAGUUGGUGGGAUAAAAGCUUACCAAGCCGACGAUCUGUAGCUGGUCUGAGAGGAUGAUCAGCCACACUGGGACUGAGACACGGCCCAGACUCCUACGGGAGGCAGCAGUGGGGAAUUUUGGACAAUGGGCGCAAGCCUGAUCCAGACAUGCCGCGUGCAGGAUGAAGGCCUUCGGGUUGUAAACUGCUUUUGUACGGAACGAAAAGCCUUCUUUUAAUACAGGAGGGUCAUGACGGUACCGUAAGAAUAAGCACCGGCUAACUAAGUG